Molecule: ribosomal RNA, 253 nt
Filed under: uncultured bacterium
Lineage: Bacteria
Description: partial 16S ribosomal RNA
Rfam family: Bacterial small subunit ribosomal RNA
Source: RNAcentral
UACGUAGGUGGCGAGCGUUGUCCGGAUUUAUUGGGCGUAAAGAGCCCGCAGGCGGCUUGGUAAGUUUUGGGUGAAAUCUCCCGGCUCAACUGGGAGGGCGCCCGGAAAACUACCAGGCUUGAGGCAGGGAGAGGGAUGUGGAAUUCCCGGUGUAGUGGUGAAAUGCUUAGAUAUCGUCAAGAACACCUAUAGCGAAGGCAGCUUACUAGGCUGUAACUGACGCUGAGGCACGAAAGUGUGGGGAUCAAACAGG